This 470-nucleotide long non-coding RNA is filed under the name Lynx canadensis (Canada lynx). RNAcentral's name for it is "lncRNA (ENSLCNG00005011622.1)". Lineage: Eukaryota; Metazoa; Chordata; Mammalia; Carnivora; Felidae. The record is from RNAcentral.
CGAGGCCGCGCCCGCCGGCUGAGAGGAGGGCGGUGUGGAGCAAGAACGCGAAGGAGCCUGGGGGAGCCUAAGCCAAGAGGGACGUGGCGCUCUACGACGCGGACCGGGAAGCCGCGCCCCUUCCUUCUCUGGCUUUCAUGGAGAGGCCUGCGAAGCAGGAUUUGGGCGGGAUCCCACAGAACAUCAGCUGGCCAAGCUCUUCAUUGUGUUCAGAAGAAGGUAGAGGGAGGCAGGCAUGAGUAUUUACUGAAAAGAAAAUCCAUGAAGUCGAAGCUAUUUUAUAAUACUUAGAUGUUAUUUAUUGCAUGGAAUCAUCAUUGCUAACUGUAAAUAAAUCAAUAAAAGUCUUUAAAAUUUUCUUGGUUUGAUUUCCAAUAUGAUAAGUAUAAGUACAAAGGAAUCUGGAGACUAAAAACUUUGAGAAUCUCUGCUUUAGAACAAAAGCUAUUAUUUUUUCUUGAAAAACAAAA